GGACCCGCACAAGUAGUGGAGCAUGUGGUUUAAUUCGAAGAUACGCGCAGAACCUUACCAACACUUGACAUGUUCGUCGCGACUCUAAGAGAUUAGAGUUUUCGGUUCGGCCGGACGAAACACAGGUGCUGCAUGGCUGUCGUCAGCUCGUGUCGUGAGAUGUUGGGUUAAGUCCCGCAACGAGCGCAACCCUCACUUUUAGUUGCCAUCAUUAAGUUGGGCACUCUGAAAGAACUGCCAGUGAUAAGCUGGAGGAAGGUGGGGAUGACGUCAAGUCCUCAUGGCCCUUACGUGUUGGGCUACACACGUGCUACAAUGGUAUCUACAACAGGAAGCAAGACGGCGACGUUAAGCAAAUCUCUAAAAUGUACCUCAGUUCGGAUUGUACUCUGUAACUCGAGUGCAUGAAGCUGGAAUUGCUAGUAAUCG
Molecule: ribosomal RNA, 429 nt
Filed under: uncultured bacterium
Lineage: Bacteria
Description: bacterial SSU rRNA
Rfam family: Bacterial small subunit ribosomal RNA
Source: RNAcentral